This 73-nucleotide transfer RNA is filed under the name Gemmatimonadota bacterium. RNAcentral describes it as "tRNA-Asn". It matches the Rfam family "tRNA". Rfam says of the family: Transfer RNA (tRNA) molecules are approximately 80 nucleotides in length. Lineage: Bacteria; Pseudomonadati; Gemmatimonadota. The record is from RNAcentral.
UGGGGCGUAGCUGAGCUGGCAAAGCAUCGGACUGUUAAUCCGAGGAUCGCAGGUUCGAGUCCUGCCGCCCCAG